This 2069-nucleotide long non-coding RNA is filed under the name Ananas comosus (pineapple). Its description in RNAcentral is "long non-coding RNA (ACOM_LNC000702)". The record is from RNAcentral. Lineage: Eukaryota; Viridiplantae; Streptophyta; Magnoliopsida; Poales; Bromeliaceae.
CCUCACGAAAUGCAAUAUGCAAUAUCUAGAAUCAUGCAAGUAGGUUACUUUAACACUACUUAUGUUCUUAAUCAUUCUUUACUCUUUGCCAUUUAAUGACUUUCUUUAGCUAUUAGCUAUUCUUUACUCGUAGCUUUUCUUUACUUGUUCUUUAUUCUUUAGCUAUUCUUUAUUCUUAACAUUCUAGAACCAUGCUAUAUCUUAGCCUUUGGCAUUCUACUCUAAGGUCGCUUUACCUUAGCCAACAAGCCACCCGACUCGGUCUAGAGUCAAUCAAUCGCGGAUAGUCCGCGCACUGUCUAGCUUGAGGUGAAGGAACUCUCACAUGCACCCUAGCUGGCAACAGCUCACCGUACUCCUGUCCUAACCGUCUGGCGGCGAACGAAUCGCACCUCACCCAACAACGGCCUAGGUUCAUGACUUAGUCACCCGGCGGCGAAAUCGUCGCACACAUGCCACGACAGUGGUUCAGUCAACAGGCGGUAGGAUCCACAAACUGGCUAACCAUCCGGCGGCGAAAUCGUCGCACACACGCCACGACAAUGGUUCUCUAGCCCCUGGGCGGCGAAAUCGUCGCACACACCCGACACCCCUUUGGGUGUAUCAGCAAGCAUUGGGAUUCCGGAAUCCAUAUCACAUUAACCAAGGGUUGGUAUUAACCCUAUGGAACUGACCUCUCUAGGUCUAAGCCUUUAUCUCCUAGGUCCAAUUGACUCUAGGUUCAUCAUCCUUUACACAACCUAAGUUAUUACUUUAGGUUUAUUGCUUUCACAUUCUUAGCCUAGGUUUAUUACACUAGGAUCAUCAUUCUUUUCCAACCUAGAUUCCCUUGACUCUAGGUUAAGCACUCUUCAUUCACAACCUAUGUUCUUUACAUUAGGUUUAGCAUCAUUCUUAUUUAACCUACGUUCAAAACUCUAGGUUAAAUGCCAUUCGAUCUAUAGGUUUAUUCAUGUCCACCUAUAUAUAUUCCUUACUUAGCAUUCUCAACAUGUACUUGCAUUUAUUGUUUUCGCAUCAUGCUUAUCAUCUAUACUUUAGCAUAGCAUCAUUUACUUUAAUCAUUCUAGGGUUAUCAACCUAGUUUUAAUGCACAUUUAAUCUCACAAUGUCAACAUGCAUUCUAUCCAUUAUUGCUCACAUGCAUUCAUGUAAUUAUGUAGCAUUAUAUAACUUGUUCAUCAUGUAUUUUAUAUCUCAUCUUAACUUAUGUCCUCAACAUGCAUUUCAUCUAUGCAUCAUAUUUACAUGCAUCCUUCUAGUUUACAUGCUUAUAUGUAUAGUCUUUUAUAUGCAUCUACUUUAGCAUUACAUCAUUAACAUGCAUUGUUUAACACUUAGAUGCAUCAACACGAAUUCUUAAUUCGCUUAGACAUAAAGGCGACCUAGUCGCUUCGGUAAACCAACCCACCUUAACUCGCGCUCCGAUUGCUUGUCGACACUUGCAAUCGGCCUCCCGCGGCAACCGUUGCCCGGUUUGGCCCGAACUCUUGCGCGACUUAGCAAACGACCUCCGAACUGCGAUCCGUCUUCUCCGGAGUUUAUUCCUUGACUCCAAGGUGCUCCGGUUCCGAUCUCAUGAUUUUUAGACCUUUAUUCCGCGUGCUGCGGCUAUCUGUACCAAAAUCGACCGUUUCGUCAAUAACUUCGCGUACGCCCAUCGGAUUGCCGAACCGAGCGUACCAAUGCGUUCGUUAGGUCCCCAAUUAGGUUUCUACAAGGUCAAUUUGCCUUAGAAACAACCGGUGACAAAAGCCCCAAUUUUUGGUGCCCUAACAACACCAAGAUCAAAUCUCUUGGGAUUGAUCUCAUAGCUAAGCAUAAUCGAGCUUAGAAUCACCCAAGAAGNUAUCCUUUACACAACCUAAGUUAUUACUUUAGGUUUAUUGCUUUCACAUUCUUAACCUAGGUUUACUACACUAGGAUCAUUAUUCCUUUCCAACCUAGGUUCACUUGACUCUAGGUUAAGCAGCUUUCCUUUCACAACCUAUGUUCUUUACAUUAGGUUUAACAUCACUCUUAGUUAACCUAUGUUCUUUACAUUAGGUUUUAUGCCACUCGAUCUAUAG